This 337-nucleotide unclassified non-coding RNA is filed under the name soil metagenome. RNAcentral describes it as "partial contains 5.8S ribosomal RNA, internal transcribed spacer 2, and large subunit ribosomal RNA". The stretch from base 1 to 120 matches the Rfam family "5.8S ribosomal RNA", at positions 35 to 154 of the family's 154-position model. The record is from RNAcentral.
GAUGAAGCACGUAGCGAAAUGCGAUAAGUAGUGUGAAUUGCAGAAUUCAGUGAAUCAUCGAAUCUUUGAACGCACAUUGCGCCCUUUGGUAUUCCUUAGGGCAUGCCUGUUCGAGCGUCAUCUAAACCUUCAAGCCCUGCUUGGUGUUGGGUGCCUGUCCCGCCUCCGCGCGUGGACUCACCUCAAAUCCAUUGGCGGCCCCCGCGUCGGCCACGAGCGCAGCAGAAACGCGAACUCGUGAGCCCGUCCGGGCGGCUCCCAGAAGCUAACCCCCAAUUUUUGACCUCGGAUCAGGUAGGGAUACCCGCUGAACUUAAGCAUAUCAAUAAGCGGAGGA